CCGAGUUUACAACUCCCAAACCCCUGUGAACAUACCACUUGUUGCCUCGGCGGAUCAGCCCGCUCCCGGUAAAACGGGACGGCCCGCCAGAGGACCCCUAAACUCUGUUUCUAUAUGUAACUUCUGAGUAAAAUCAUAAAUAAAUCA
This 147-nucleotide unclassified non-coding RNA is filed under the name soil metagenome. RNAcentral's name for it is "partial internal transcribed spacer 1". The record is from RNAcentral.